GGAGGCGUGGGUGAGUGGUUGAAAUCACCGGUUUCGAAAACCGGCAUACCCGAAAGGGUAUCGGAGGUUCAAAUCCUCCCGCCUCCGCAA
RNAcentral lists this transfer RNA (90 nucleotides) under Candidatus Tayloriibacteriota bacterium. Its description in RNAcentral is "tRNA-Ser". It matches the Rfam family "tRNA". From Rfam's summary of the family: Transfer RNA (tRNA) molecules are approximately 80 nucleotides in length. Their secondary structure includes four short double-helical elements and three loops (D, anti-codon, and T loops). Lineage: Bacteria; Candidatus Tayloriibacteriota. The record is from RNAcentral.